RNAcentral lists this small nucleolar RNA (94 nucleotides) under Castor canadensis (American beaver). RNAcentral describes it as "Small nucleolar RNA SNORA69 (ENSCCNG00000029169.1)". It matches the Rfam family "Small nucleolar RNA SNORA69". Rfam says of the family: U69 is a member of the H/ACA class of small nucleolar RNAs (snoRNAs) which act as guides in the the modification of uridines to pseudouridines. The record is from Rfam by way of RNAcentral. Lineage: Eukaryota; Metazoa; Chordata; Mammalia; Rodentia; Castoridae.
AAAGCAAAUUGCAAUCACAGUGCUUCAGUUUGUGGAAGUCCUGCCAUUUUCCUGCUGAAAGAAAAGUCAUACCCAGUGCUAGUGUCUCACACUU